UACGACUACAUAUCAGGCAUAUCAAUAAGCGGAGGAAAAGAAACUAACAAGGAUUCCCCUAGUAACGGCGAGUGAAGCGGGAAGAGCUCAAAUUUGAAAUCUUAAAGGGUUUCCCUUUACGAAUUGUAGUUUAAAGAAGUGUUUUCUGUUGGAGUUUCGGUAAAAGUUCUUUGGAAUAGGACAUCAUAGAGGGUGAGAAUCCCGUAUUUGACCAUUACUUUCCAGCUGUGUGAUACACUUUCAAAGAGUCGGAUUGUUUGGGAAUGCAGUCCAAAAUGGGUGGUAAAUUUCAUCUAAAGCUAAAUAUUGGCGAGAGACCGAUAGCGAACAAGUACCGUGAGGGAAAGAUGAAAAGAACUUUGAAAAGAGAGUUAAACAGUACGUGAAAUUGUCAAAAGGGAAGCGUUUGACACCAGUGUUGUUUUUCCGAAAAUCAAUUACGAAUGGCUUGAUUUUGUGUUGUAUUGACCUUAUCAGCUUUCUUCACUUUUUUCGAGUCUUUCUUAAUGCACUUUUUGGUUAACAAGUCAACAUCAAUUUCUUUUGUUGUAAAAGAGUAUUCGGAAGGUGGCUUUCUUUUCGGAGAAAGUGUUUAUAGCCCUAUACUUCUACAAUCGGAGAGAUUGAGGUCUGCAGCGUAGAUCCUUCGGGGUUAGAUACACUUGUGCUAAGUUGUAGCUUUUCAUAGACAACUUGUUGACUAUGUUUAGUCAUGCGGCUUACUCGCUUGUGCUAUUUUACCUACGCUUAGGAUGUUGAGUAGCGACAUACGCA
Molecule: ribosomal RNA, 774 nt
Filed under: uncultured Neocallimastigales
Lineage: Eukaryota; Fungi; Neocallimastigomycota; Neocallimastigomycetes; Neocallimastigales
Description: partial large subunit ribosomal RNA
Rfam family: Eukaryotic large subunit ribosomal RNA
Source: RNAcentral